CCUACGGGUGGCAGCAGUGGGCAAUAUUGCGCAAUGGGCGAAAGCCUGACGCAGCGACGCCGCGUGAGGGAUGAAGGUCUUCGGAUCGUAAACCUCUGUCAGCAGGGAAGAACGGUCACUGUGCUAAUCAGCAGUGAAUUGACGGUACCUGCAAAGGAAGCACCGGCUAACUCCGUGCCAGCAGCCGCGGUAAUACGGAGGGUGCGAGCGUUAAUCGGAAUUACUGGGCGUAAAGCGCUCGUAGGCGGUAUGUCAAGUCAAGGGGGAAAUCCCCGCGCUCAACGUGGGAACUGCCUUUGAAACUGGCAAACUGGAGUGUGUGAGAGGAUAGUGGAAGUCCAGGUGUAGGAGUGAAAUCCGUAGAUAUCUGGAGGAACAUCAGUGGCGAAGGCGACUAUCUGGCACAUAACUGACGCUGAGGAGCGAAAGCGUGGGUAGCAAACAGGAUUAGAUACCCCAGUAGUC
Molecule: ribosomal RNA, 465 nt
Filed under: uncultured bacterium
Lineage: Bacteria
Description: partial 16S ribosomal RNA
Rfam family: Bacterial small subunit ribosomal RNA
Source: RNAcentral